RNAcentral lists this ribosomal RNA (610 nucleotides) under uncultured bacterium. RNAcentral's name for it is "bacterial SSU rRNA". It matches the Rfam family "Bacterial small subunit ribosomal RNA", at positions 338 to 948 of the family's 1533-position model. The record is from RNAcentral.
CCUACGGGAGGCAGCAGUGAGGAAUAUUGGACAAUGGGCGCAAGCCUGAUCCAGCCAUGCCGCGUGCAGGAUGACGGUCCUAUGGAUUGUAAACUGCUUUUAUACGAGAAGAAACACUCCGACGUGUCGGAGCUUGACGGUAUCGUAAGAAUAAGGAUCGGCUAACUCCGUGCCAGCAGCCGCGGUAAUACGGAGGAUCCAAGCGUUAUCCGGAAUCAUUGGGUUUAAAGGGUCCGUAGGCGGUUUAAUAAGUCAGUGGUGAAAGCCCAUCGCUCAACGGUGGAACGGCCAUUGAUACUGUUAAACUUGAAUUAUUAGGAAGUAACUAGAAUAUGUAGUGUAGCGGUGAAAUGCUUAGAGAUUACAUGGAAUACCAAUUGCGAAGGCAGGUUACUACUAAUUGAUUGACGCUGAUGGACGAAAGCGUGGGUAGCGAACAGGAUUAGAUACCCUGGUAGUCCACGCCGUAAACGAUGGAUACUAGCUGUUGGGAGCAAUCUCAGUGGCUAAGCGAAAGUGAUAAGUAUCCCACCUGGGGAGUAACGUUCGCAAGAAUGAAACUUCAAAUUGAUUGNGGNGNGNGAGNGCGAGACGACGACGAGGGAGGAGG